AGGCUGAGGAAGGAGGAUCCCUUGAGCCUGAGAGUUUGAAGCACAAGAACCAUCAAUCAGCACAGAAGACUUCUGUGACCCCAAACUAUGUGGGGAUUUCUCCCUAGCAACAAGCAAGCAAUCAGUUUGGCAACAAACACUGACUGGAUGUCUUCCAAUUCAAUUCCAACACUAUCUACCUGGAAAUAGUGUCUGAUCCCACAGGGAAGAUGACCAGUUUACAUAUGGAAUCUGUUGAAUUUGAGCAAACAACUCAAAAAAGCAAAAUGGCUAUAGAGGCCAGAUGGGAACAUAAAUGAGUGAAUCAAGUCAGAUGCAACUGUGGAGAAAUCAAAACAUCGAGAGAAGGUAGUUCUACUUAGUUAUGCUUGAAUGUUGCCCUAUGAGAAUUUCAGGCCCAGUAUUGCCAUAUUUUAAGAUUUUUCAUGAAAAGAUGGAAAUCUGGAUUUGUAUGCAAAAAUUUGUGUGAAUAUCAAAUUCAAGUGUUUAAAACUACUGUGGCUCAAACUAUGGCUUCAAGUUUGCAUCUCUGAGCAAAAGGCUGUUGGAAAUUCAGAACUGGAUGUAAAGUGAGAGAUCUGGGCUGAAGGUAAAUGAUUAGGGAAUUCAUAAGCACAGAGAGGAUGGUAGAUGCUUCCAAAACAGUAUGUGUUAGAAUAGUAACCAGCACUUGACAUGAUUAGUUAAAAUAAGGCAAAAAUAUAUGAGUUAACAAGUUAGUCAGGACUUAGAGAAAACUGAUAAAACUAGCAGUGGAAAACUAGCAGACUUAAGUGGGUAUAUUUAAAAUUCAAUUUUCAAUGAACUAAAAGCUAAAUUCCAGACAAUGACUCUGUGUGUGUGUGUGUGUUUAAGAUAGGAUUUCGCUCUGUUACCCAGGCUGGAGUGCAGUGACAUGAUCAUGGCUCACUUCAGCCUCGACCUCCAGGGCUCAAGCCAUCCUACUGCCUCAGCCUCCCAAGUAGCUGGUACUACAGGCAUGUGGGACACAGGCUAAUUUUUGUAUUUUUUGUAGAGACAGGUUUUCACCACGUUGCCCAGGCUAGUCUCAAACUCCUGAGCUCAAGCUACCCACCUGCUUCAGUCUCCAAAAGAGCUGGGAUUGCAGGCAUCAGCCACCAUGCCUAGCAUUUUAUUUUUUUUGAGACAGGAUCUCACUCUACUGCCCUGGCUGGAGUGCAGUGGCGUGACCAUGGCUUAGUGCAGCCUCAAAGUCCUGGGCUUAAGGGAUUCGCCCAUGUCAGCCUCCCAAGUAGCUGGGACUACAGAUGCAUGUCACCACAUCUGGAUUAAUUUUUAAUUUUAGAGAUGGGGGGGUCUCCCUAUGUUGCCCAGAUUGGUCUCCAACUCCUGGGCUCAAAGAAUCCUCCCAGCUUGGCCUCCAAAAGUGCUGCUGAAUUUUCAUAUAUCCAUGACGUGAUGGAAACAUUUAGAAAGUUUCAAUGUUUAUUUCCCUCACUUAAAUAUAUUUCGAUUUGAAAAAAAACUAUUGUCUAGACUUCAAAGAGUAUAUUCAUCUAGCCCUAAAAGCUAGAUGUUCUUAUAAUUAAGACACUUAAAAUUCAAUAAUUAAAAAUUUUUUACACUGGGCACAGUGGCUCACACCUGUAAUCCCAGUA
This 1619-nucleotide long non-coding RNA is filed under the name Homo sapiens (human). RNAcentral describes it as "HSALNT0361354". The record is from RNAcentral. Lineage: Eukaryota; Metazoa; Chordata; Mammalia; Primates; Hominidae.